GGUGGUGUCACUCAGUGGUAGAGUACUUGCCUCACAUGCAAGUGAUGCCUCACAUUAGACUCAGUACCA
This 69-nucleotide transfer RNA is filed under the name Fukomys damarensis (Damara mole-rat). It matches the Rfam family "tRNA". From Rfam's summary of the family: Transfer RNA (tRNA) molecules are approximately 80 nucleotides in length. Their secondary structure includes four short double-helical elements and three loops (D, anti-codon, and T loops). Further hydrogen bonds mediate the characteristic L-shaped molecular structure. tRNAs have two regions of fundamental functional importance: the anti-codon, which is responsible for specific mRNA codon recognition, and the 3' end, to which the tRNAs corresponding amino acid is attached (by aminoacyl-tRNA synthetases). tRNAs cope with the degeneracy of the genetic code in two manners: having more than one tRNA (with a specific anti-codon) for a particular amino acid; and 'wobble' base-pairing, i.e. permitting non-standard base-pairing at the 3rd anti-codon position. Lineage: Eukaryota; Metazoa; Chordata; Mammalia; Rodentia; Bathyergidae. The record is from Rfam by way of RNAcentral.